UGAAGAUAUUCAAAACCCAGCUGGUCACAGCUGUGAGGACCCUUGUUUGAGCACAAGGGUCACAGCAGGGGGUCGCCAGAACCAUCUUCCCACAUAAGCCAAUGCGUACAUCUGUGGAUAAAGCUGGCACUAAAUCCCUUUGAAAAACUGAAAGCUCGUAAGGCACUUGGCAGACCUACACAUUCCCAUGCUGCUAGUACAAGAAAUUACAAGGAAAGACAUUAGAAAUCAAUGUGGAGGUUGCUACAGAUCUACUGCAGUGACCAGGAAGAUCUCCAGCACCAGACAGAUGGGCAGCAAUGCAGAGUAGGCUACACAUUCCCUUGAAGAGGCACUGUCUUUUUAUGUCUGCACCAUCAAAGGUGGGCAUUACUGUAGCACGUAUAGUAAUAAUAAUCCUGCAGUUUGUAUCUUGUGGCUUUAUUGCAGAAUAAUGAAUGUUCAUCAGGCAUUUUCCAGUGUAGACAGAAGGCCACACCUGCUUACUAAAGCUAUAUUAGGGGAUAAUAAUGCUGGGCAGAGAUACUGGGGAAAAAAAAAAAGAAAAAGAGUAUGGGAGAGCACUAAAAUAUCUUUCUAUCUUUGCACAUGCUCUUUAUGACGUCAGAGCAACUUAAAUUCAUGGUAAACUGUAAAGAACCACUUAGAAGUCAAAAUAAUAGCUCUAUAUGGACAAAGAUUUUCUAGCAUUUUUGGUGGCUACUUUUAUACUUGGCUAGUUUUGUUGUUCUAUACUUCAGCACAGACACUGAUAAUUUCGCUAUCUGUAUAGUGCAGUGAGCAACUGAGAGUCAGGACUGCUUGUUGACAUUUAGGUGAAACCUGACUGACUGAGUUUCAAUGUGAACUUAGAUGAGAUCAAUUAAUUAAAUAAUCUUGAAAAUUGC
Centrocercus urophasianus (Greater sage-grouse) is the source of this 887-nucleotide long non-coding RNA. RefSeq lists it as uncharacterized. The transcript has 2 exons. NCBI's taxonomy places the organism in Eukaryota, Metazoa, Chordata, Aves, Galliformes, Phasianidae. The record is from RefSeq and is a predicted model, not a curated record.